Molecule: long non-coding RNA, 539 nt
Organism: Passer domesticus (house sparrow)
Lineage: Eukaryota; Metazoa; Chordata; Aves; Passeriformes; Passeridae
Exons: 3
Source: RefSeq, a predicted model, not a curated record
CGAGAGGCACGGCCUCGGCCGGGCUGUACUGGACUGCGGGCGUGGAGGGAGGCUGUUAUACGGGCCCGGGAGACAAAGGGCUCGUUCCGCGGCCGAGGUGCUGGAAACGCGCGUGAGUAGGCUCAAGUGUCUCCCAGCUGCUUCCUGGAGGAUGACACCUGAGACUGCGGGCAGGAGUGACAUCAGGGCUGGUAUGCACAUGAGGAAGCACCUCACCAAAUCUUGCAAGAAAACCCCUAAAAUAACGUGCCACCAUGGAAUUAAGAGAUCUAAGUGAUGUCUAAAGCUGCUUAGGUAUCCUUUGGAUGGUGCUUCUACAGAAGCUAGGGAAAGGCAAACACAUUAUAAGAAUGAACAAACAGGAAAAUAUAACUACACUCUUAAUACCUACAGAACUUCCUCUGAGAACAGUGAUGUAACCUGCGCAGGAUAAACCCAGCUGUUGCAUGGAGGACUGUCUUUCAUUUCAAAUUUGGCUAAUUUUUUGUGCUGUUUACUCUGAACUCUUUAAAUAAACAAUUAAUAACACCGUUGAAGAA